UAACUGGGCGUAAAGGGCACGCAGGCGGUGACUUAAGUGAGGUGUGAAAGCCCCGGGCUUAACCUGGGAAUUGCAUUUCAUACUGGGUCGCUAGAGUACUUUAGGGAGGGGUAGAAUUCCACGUGUAGCGGUGAAAUGCGUAGAGAUGUGGAGGAAUACCGAAGGCGAAGGCAGCCCCUUGGGAAUGUACUGACGCUCAUGUGCGAAAGCGUGGGGAGCAAACAGGAUUAGAUACCCUGGUAGUCCACGCUGUAAACGAUGUCGAUUUGGGGGUUGAACUUUAAGUUUGGCGCCCGUAGCUAACGUGAUAAAUCGACCGCCUGGGGAGUACGGCCGCAAGGUUAAAACUCAAAUGAAUUGACGGGGGCCCGCACAAGCGGUGGAGCAUGUGGUUUAAUUCGAUGCAACGCGAAGAACCUUACCUACUCUUGACAUCCAGAGAACUUUCCAGAGAUGGAUUGGUGCCUUCGGGAACUCUGAGACAGGUGCUGCAUGGCUGUCGUCAGCUCGUGUCGUGAG
This 519-nucleotide ribosomal RNA is filed under the name uncultured bacterium. RNAcentral's name for it is "bacterial SSU rRNA". It matches the Rfam family "Bacterial small subunit ribosomal RNA", at positions 551 to 1071 of the family's 1533-position model. The record is from RNAcentral.